GGGGUGGAGCUCAGAGGUGGAGCACUUGCCUGGUAAGCACAAGGUCUUGGGUUCAAUCCCUAACCACCCCC
RNAcentral lists this transfer RNA (71 nucleotides) under Cavia porcellus (domestic guinea pig). It matches the Rfam family "tRNA". From Rfam's summary of the family: Transfer RNA (tRNA) molecules are approximately 80 nucleotides in length. Their secondary structure includes four short double-helical elements and three loops (D, anti-codon, and T loops). Lineage: Eukaryota; Metazoa; Chordata; Mammalia; Rodentia; Caviidae. The record is from Rfam by way of RNAcentral.